AUCAUUACCGAGUUAUCCAACUCCCAACCCCUGUGAAUCAUACCUUUAAUUGUUGCUUCGGCGGGACUUCGCGCCCGCCGGGGACCCGAACCUUCUGAAUUUUUUAAUAAGUAUCUUCUGAGUGGUUAAAAAAAUGAAUCAAAACUUUCAACAACGGAUCUCUUGGUUCUGGCAUCGAUGAAGAACGCAGCGAAAUGCGAUAAGUAAUGUGAAUUGCAGAAUUCAGUGAAUCAUCGAAUCUUUGAACGCACAUUGCGCCCGUCAGUAUUCUGGCGGGCAUGCCUGUUCGAGCGUCAUUACGCCCCUCAAGUCCCCUGUGGACUUGGUGUUGGGGAUCGGCGAGGCUGGUUUUCCAGCACAGCCGUCCCUUAAAUUAAUUGGCGGUCUCGCCGUGGCCCUCCUCUGCGCAGUAGUAAAACACUCGCAUACAGGAGCCCGGCGCGGUCCACUGCCGUAAAACCCCCCAACUUUUUAUAGUUGACCUCGAAUCAGGUAGGACUACC
RNAcentral lists this ribosomal RNA (503 nucleotides) under Metarhizium anisopliae. RNAcentral describes it as "eukaryotic LSU rRNA". The stretch from base 143 to 296 matches the Rfam family "5.8S ribosomal RNA". Lineage: Eukaryota; Fungi; Ascomycota; Sordariomycetes; Hypocreales; Clavicipitaceae. The record is from RNAcentral.